Molecule: long non-coding RNA, 200 nt
Filed under: Elaeis guineensis (African oil palm)
Lineage: Eukaryota; Viridiplantae; Streptophyta; Magnoliopsida; Arecales; Arecaceae
Description: long non-coding RNA (EGUI_LNC071447)
Source: RNAcentral
GUUGGAGUCUGUAGCUAGAGUCGGAGGUGAAGUCCGACUCCCGUAGGAGCUCGGACGAGGCCUUCCUGCAGUCGAAGUUGGGGAUGAAGUACGGCUCCCAUAGGAGUACGGACGGAGUUUGUCUGCAAUCGGAGUUGGAGAUGGAGUCCGGCUCUUGUAGGAGUCCGGAUGGAGCUUACCAGUGUUCGAAGUCGAGGACG